AUGUCCUUGGAGGUGACCAGGGCGACUGCAGGGAUGGUGCUAGCAGAGCUGUAUGUCUCAGAUCGAGAGGGAAAUGGUGCCACGGGAGAUGGAACCAAAGAGAAACUAUUUAAAACAGGCCUAAAAGAUUUGAUGACAGUAGGAAAAGAUCCAUUUCCUACCAUUUAUGAAGAUUCACAAAAAGAAAAUGAGAGGUAGAACAUUAUGUCUGAAUCACAGAUGAAGAACAUUAGGAAAAUGUGGCAUAGGGAGCAAAUGAAGAGUGAAUCCCGAGAGAAGAAAGAGGCAGAAGAUAAUUUGCGAAGAGAAAAGAACCUCGAAGAAGCAAAGAAGAUUACCAUUAAAAAUGUUCCAAGUCUGCCAGAGCCACAAUGUGUGAAGAUUCAUGUAUUAGAAGGAUAUAGAGGCCAGAGAGUAAAGGUUUUUGGCUGGGUCCAUAGGCUGCAUAGGCAAGGAAAGAAUUUAAUGUUCCUGGGGUUGCGGGAUGGUACGGGUUAUCUUCAGUAUGUCUUGUCGGAUGAGUUGUGUCAGUGUUACCAUGGAGUAGUUUUGUCUACUGAGAGUAGUGUUGCUGUAUAUGGAAUGCUAAAUCUUACUCCAGAGGGCAAGCAGGCUCCAGGGGGCCACGAGCUGAGUUGUGACUUCUGGGAACUUAUGGGGUUGGCCCCUGCUGGAGGAGCAGAUAACUUAAUAAAGAAUCUGAUGUUGAUGUCCAGCUGAACAAUAGGCACAUGAUGAUCCGAGGAGAAAAUAUGUCCACAAUCCUAAAACCACGUUCCAUGAUCACCAGGUGCUCCAGAGAUCACUUCUUUGAUAUAGGGUACUGUGAAGUUACUCCUCCAACGUUGGUGCAGACACAGGUAGAAGGUGGUGCCAAGCUCUUCAAGCUUGACUAUUUCGGGGAAGAGGCAUUUUUGACUCAGUCCUCUCAGUUGUACCUGGAGACCUGCCUUCCAUCCUUGGGAGAUGUUUUUUUGUAUUGCACAGUCAUACAGAGCAGAACAAUCCAGAACAUGAAGGCACCUGGCUGAGUACACUCACGUGGAAGCUGAGUGCCCUUUCCUGGCCUUUUGAGGAUCUCCUGAACAGACUGGAGGACUUGGUUUGUGACAUGGUAGAUAGAGUCUUAAAAUCACCGGCAGCAAGUAUAGUGUAUGACCUCAACCCGAAUUUUAAACCCCCUAAACGGCCUUUCAAACGGAUGAACUACUCCAAUGCUAUUGUGUGGCUAAAAGAACACAAUGUAAAGAAAGAAAAUGGGACUUUCUAUGAAUUUGGAGAAGAUAUCCCAGAAGCUCCUGAGAGACUGAUGACAGACACCAUUAAUGAACCAAUCUUUCUGUGUCGAUUUCCUGUGGAGAUCAAGUCCUUCUACAUGCAGCAAUAUCCUGAGGAUUCCCGCCUUAGUGAAUCUGUUGACGUGUUGAUGCCCAAUGUUGGUGAGAUUGUGGGAGGCUCAAUGCGUAUCUGGGAUAGUGAAGAAAUGCUGGCAGGUUAUAAAAGGGAAGGGAUUGACCCCACUCCUUAUUACUGGUACACAGAUCAGAGAAAAUAUGGUACAUGUCCUCAUGGAGGAUUCAGCUUGGGCUUAGAACGAUUCCUGACUUGGAUUCUGAAUAGAUAUCACAUCCGAGAUAUAUGCUUGUACCCUCGAUUUGUCCAGUGCUGUAAGCCAUAA
Molecule: non-coding RNA, 1678 nt
Organism: Marmota flaviventris (yellow-bellied marmot)
Lineage: Eukaryota; Metazoa; Chordata; Mammalia; Rodentia; Sciuridae
Source: RefSeq, a predicted model, not a curated record